This is a long non-coding RNA of Neopelma chrysocephalum (saffron-crested tyrant-manakin), 1927 nucleotides long. RefSeq lists it as uncharacterized. The transcript has 3 exons. Lineage: Eukaryota; Metazoa; Chordata; Aves; Passeriformes; Pipridae. The record is from RefSeq and is a predicted model, not a curated record.
UCAGUGUAAGCACCUGCAAAUCACCUCCUACUCACUUGAGAGAAGAAAUCCUUUCCAGUCAAAAUCACUGCAUUUACCUUUUUCAGUUCAGAAAGAUGAUUCCAGCUCUCUACAUGCCAACAAUGGCAGCUGGAGCAAGAACCCGGUUUGGAAUCAUGCUGUUGUCACAAACAAGAAUACAGUGGUGUGCUUUGCCAAAGCACCCACCUGCAACAUUCCUUUUUUCUUUCAUAGAUCUACUUUUCAUUCAUGGGAAACCCUGUUCCUCCACAUCAUACAUUGCUUGGGCUCCUUGGGCAUGCAAACUUUCAAGUGGGCUCUGCUAAGGAAUAAGGAGGAGGCAUCACAGCAUGUAACCUCAACGCACCAUUGGGAUUGUAGAAAGGAGCUGAACUGGGAAUGGAACCUUUCUUUCCGUCUCUGAUGUUUAAAUGUUCCUUGUCAUCUUCUAAAACAGCUUAUCUGAGCCAAAAUGCUGAGAACAGUUUGUAAAAUGUUGUCCUUUUGAAAUAGAGCCCUGAACUUUCCUCCUACUCAUAUCCACACCUAAUCUUAUCCCAAGCAACAGCUUCAGCUACUUUGCAGCCCAGACUCCUUCUCAAGUCUUUCCCUGACAUUAAGGGAUUUCUUGUUGUUGUACCACUGUGCAUCUAAAACAGCUGUGAUGUGACCUGGUAAAUGAAAACACAGUGAAUGGCAUGCUAAUAUUAUUAGUCUAUUUCUUGUUUCUUCGCUGAGGAAAUUUGCAUAAUUAACCCCCAGAGGUUCUUAUUUAUCAGCAUAACAUUUGUUUCGCUUGCCAUUGCAUUCCAAAUAUUGCUUUGCCCUGGAGACCUGUUGUGCUAGCACAGAGCUUCAGAGAAAGAUUUCUAUUCCACAUGCCAAAUGUUGCUAUUAUCCCUACUAGAAUAAUAGGGGAAGGAUUUUGGCUCUAGAUACAUGGAAUUUUAUGAAGAGGCAAUCUGUGCUUUUACACAGAGGGUCCCACAAACAACCCUGGAUUAUUUCUUGAGGUGGUGCUCAGAAGAGGGUUGAUUCCAAUGCAAGAGGGGUGAUUCCCCAUCAGUCUCUUCCCAACAAUCCCAGUAUACUGUUUUGGUAGGAGCCUUGUGUCUCUGGGCAGCCCACUGAUGAGGCAACUUCAUAUGAAAAAGAAGUUCCUGCCCUAAAUAUUGCUUCGAAAGCCAUCCAACAUGGUGUUUCACGGCAAGGAAGGAGAGGUACAUUGUCCCUUUUUUUCCGAUUACAUCACACUGUGUGCCCACUUGAGACAGGUAAUACAUUUUGGUCUUUCUGUGACGUUGAGUGCCUGCUGCAUAAUUUACAGUACUUUGUUGCUUUGAACAUUUGCACCCUAAUUGCUGUUAAGCAGCAGAUGCCCAAUAAAUGUUGGUAUUACAUGUGUCCUUCCAGCAUCUGUCUUAGAUUACAUCAUCUUUGUAGGUAAACUCAUAACAUCUUAAAAGCAGCUGAUCCCCUUCAGGCAAAGUGACUUGCUGUUCCUAUUAAUCACUUUUCAUAACUCAUUGCCUUCCUCACCUAAAUUGCAGUCUCACUGACACAGUUGCCCUGGAUGUGCACCCAACAAGCCCUAUGUAAUGCUGUGCCAGCCCUGUGAAGAGGCAGGGGCGUAGGCAUCCCACAUUGCAUUGCUAUUGAUCUCAUGGCAAGUCAAACAGGAAGCCCAAAGCAAGGCAGCAGGGCAGGUAAGCAGACAGACAGAGGAAAAAACCCUGAGGCUCAGGAGAGUGGGCUGAUCGAAGAGGCGGUCACCAGGAACAGAGGAAACCCAGACCUAACUGAGGACAAUCCCAAGGCCAUUACUGCUUUGAUGGGAGCUGCAACUGCUCCACCAGCUUUCAUCUCUGUCUGCCUCCUCCUAUGUUUUCUCUUCCAUGGGCGAUGUGCUGGGGACUGGGAAGGAAGU